Molecule: non-coding RNA, 45 nt
Organism: Necator americanus (New World hookworm)
Lineage: Eukaryota; Metazoa; Nematoda; Chromadorea; Rhabditida; Ancylostomatidae
Source: Rfam
CCAACGGCCCUAUUUAGGGCCAAAUGCUUACGGAUACAAAUCGAA